This 466-nucleotide ribosomal RNA is filed under the name uncultured bacterium. RNAcentral's name for it is "partial 16S ribosomal RNA". It matches the Rfam family "Bacterial small subunit ribosomal RNA", at positions 28 to 507 of the family's 1533-position model. The record is from RNAcentral.
GACGAACGCUGGCGGCGUGCUUAACACAUGCAAGUCGAACGAUGAAGCCCAGCUUGCUGGGUGGAUUAGUGGCGAACGGGUGAGUAACACGUGAGUAACCUGCCCUUGACUCUGGGAUAAGCCUGGGAAACUGGGUCUAAUACUGGAUAUGACUUCUCAUCGCAUGGUGGGGGGUGGAAAGAUUUAUUGGUCUUGGAUGGACUCGCGGCCUAUCAGCUUGUUGGUGAGGUAAUGGCUCACCAAGGCGACGACGGGUAGCCGGCCUGAGAGGGUGACCGGCCACACUGGGACUGAGACACGGCCCAGACUCCUACGGGAGGCAGCAGUGGGGAAUAUUGCACAAUGGGCGCAAGCCUGAUGCAGCGACGCCGCGUGAGGGAUGACGGCCUUCGGGUUGUAAACCUCUUUCAGUAGGGAAGAAGCGAGAGUGACGGUACCUGCAGAAGAAGCGCCGGCUAACUACGUG